GACGAACGCUGGCGGCGUGCUUAACACAUGCAAGUCGAACGGAAAGGCCCUGCUUUUGUGGGGUGCUCGAGUGGCGAACGGGUGAGUAACACGUGAGUAACCUGCCCUUGACUUUGGGAUAACUUCAGGAAACUGGGGCUAAUACCGGAUAGGAGCUCCUGCUGCAUGGUGGGGGUUGGAAAUUUUCGGCGGUUGGGGAUGGACUCGCGGCUUAUCAGCUUGUUGGUGGGGUAGUGGCUUACCAAGGCUUUGACGGGUAGCCGGCCUGAGAGGGUGACCGGCCACAUUGGGACUGAGAUACGGACCAGACUCCUACGGGAGGCAGCAGGGGGGAAUAUUGCACAAUGGGCGGAAGCCUGAUGCAGCAACGCCGCGUGCGGGAUGACGGCCUUCGGGUUGUAAACCGCUUUCGCCUGUGACGAAGCGUGAGUGACGGUAAUGGGUAAAGAAGCACCGGCUAACUACGUG
Molecule: ribosomal RNA, 468 nt
Filed under: uncultured bacterium
Lineage: Bacteria
Description: partial 16S ribosomal RNA
Rfam family: Bacterial small subunit ribosomal RNA
Source: RNAcentral